UACGUAGGCAGCGAGCGUUGUUCGGAGUUACUGGGCGUAAAGGGUGUGUAGGCGGUUUUCUAAGUUUGGUGUGAAAUCUCCCGGCUCAACCGGGAGGGUGCGCCGAAAACUGGGAGACUAGAGUGCGGGAUGGGAGAGUAGAAUUCCUGGUGUAGCGGUGAAAUGCGUAGAUAUCAGGAGGAAUACCGGUGGUGUAGACGGCUCUCUGGACCGCCACUGACGCUGAGACACGAAAGCGUGGGGAGCAAACAGG
This 253-nucleotide ribosomal RNA is filed under the name uncultured bacterium. Its description in RNAcentral is "partial 16S ribosomal RNA". It matches the Rfam family "Bacterial small subunit ribosomal RNA", at positions 524 to 776 of the family's 1533-position model. The record is from RNAcentral.